GAAACCCGGGUGUCUAAUCCAAGUUCCGGGUGAAAGUGGGAGUAAAAUCCCCAGGGAGGACCCGAACCGACUUCCGUUGAAAAGGCGGCGGGAUGAGGUGUGGAUAGCGGAGAAAAUUCCAAUCGAACCCGGAGAUAGCUGGUUCUCCCCCGAAAUAGCUUUAGGGCUAGCGUUGUAUUAGAUUUACCGGAGGUAAAGCACUGAAUGGGCUAGGGGCCGAGAGGUUACUGAACCCUAUCAAACUCUGAAUGCCGGAUAAUUGAUGUACAGCAGUCAGACUACGUGAGAUAAGUCUCGUGGUCGAGAGGGAAAAAGCCCAGACCCACAGCUAAGGUCCCAAAUACACGUUAAGUGGAAAAGGAUGUGGAGUUGCACAGACAACCAGGAUGUUGGCUUAGAAGCAGCCACUCAUUAAAAGAGUGCGUAAUAGCUCACUGGUCGAGUGACUCUGCGCCGAAAAUUCAACGGGGCUAAACGUGUAACCGAAGCUUGGGAUUUCAUUCACUGAACAAUGCUUUUUGUCAGGCAGGAGGGAAAGAUUUGCUGCCGAAGGCAGCUAAAUUCCCAAAAGCAAACGAGAGAGAAAGUAUUGGUCAGUGAAUGAAAUGGUAGGGGAGCGUCGUAUACGGGGUGAAGUAUGAGCGAAAGCGCAUGUGGACUGUAUACGAGUGAGAAUGCCGGAAUGAGUAGCGAGAAAUAUGUGAGAAUCAUAUUGGCCGAAAGUCUAAGGUUUCCGGAGGAAGGUUCGUCCGCUCCGGGUAAGCCGGGAGCUAAGGUGAGGCCGGAAGGCGUAGCCGAUGCACAUACGGUAGAGAUUCCGUAGCUGCCGGAGGAUUUAAGCAGAGGGACACUGUCAAAGGGUAUGACCCGGGCGUUGGUAGCCCCGGGCGAAAGGGACUGAAAUAUAGUAGGGAAGCAUACUUGGCGGCAGGCGAGAAAAGCUCUGUGGAUAUCUGAGGCACCCGUACCGCAAACCGACACAGGUAGACAGGAAGAGAAUUCUAAGGCCAACGGGAGAAGGGUUGUUAAGGAACUCGGCAAGUUGACCCCGUAACUUAGGGAAAAGGGGUGCUCCUGAAAGGGAGCCGCAGAGAAUAGGUCCAGGCGACUGUUUAGCAAAAACACAGCUCUAUGCUAAAUCGAAAGAUGACGUAUAUGGGGUGACACCUGCCCGGUGCCGGAAGGUUAAGAGGAGGAGUGAGAGCUCUGAAUUGAAGCCCCGGUAAACGGCGGCCGUAACUAUAACGGUCCUAAGGUAGCGAAAUUCCUUGUCAGGUAAGUUCUGACCCGCACGAAUGGUGUAACGAUCUGGACACUGUCUCAACAGCCCGCCCGGCGAAAUUGUAGUACCGGUGAAGAUGCCGGUUACCCGCGACAAGACGGAAAGACCCCAUGGAGCUUUACUGCAGCUUAAUAUUGGAUUUCGGUAUUUCAUGUACAGGAUAGGUGGGAGGCAGAGAAGGCAGCACGCCAGUGUUGCUGGAGCCGGCGUUGGGAUACCACUCUUGAGGUGCUGAAAUUCUAACCUGCGGCCGUGAAUCCGGUCGGGGGACAGUGUUAGGCGGGCAGUUUGACUGGGGCGGUCGCCUCCAAAAAGGUAACGGAGGCGCUCAAAGGUUGGCUCAGCAUGGACGGAAACCAUGCCAGAGAGUGUAAACGCACAAGCCAGCCUAACUGCGAGAGCGACAGUUCGAGCAGUAACGAAAGUUGGAGUUAGUGAUCCGGUGGUAUGUGAGUGGAAAUGCCAUCGCUCAACGGAUAAAAGCUACCCUGGGGAUAACAGGCUGAUCUCCCCCAAGAGUCCACAUCGUCGGGGAGGUUUGGCACCUCGAUGUCGGCUCAUCGCAUCCUGGGGCUGAAUUCGGUCCCAAGGGUUUGGCUGUUCGCCAAUUAAAGCGGUACGCGAGCUGGGUUCAGAACGUCGUGAGACAGUUCGGUCCCUAUCUGUCGUGGGCGCAGGAUAUUUGAGAGGAGCUGUCCCUAGUACGAGAGGACCGGGAUGGACGUACCUCUGGUGCACCAGUUGUCGUGCCAACGGCACAGCUGGGCAGCUAAGUACGGAUCGGAUAAACGCUGAAGGCAUCUAAGCGUGAAGCCGACCUCAAGAUAAGAUAUGCCACUGAGUAAUCAGGUAAGACCCCUUGAAGACUACAAGGUUGAUAGGCCGCAUGUGGAAGCGUCGUGAGGCGUGCAGCAAGGCGGUACUAAUCGGUCGAGGGCUUGACCAG
RNAcentral lists this ribosomal RNA (2228 nucleotides) under Anaerotruncus colihominis DSM 17241. RNAcentral's name for it is "bacterial LSU rRNA". It matches the Rfam family "Bacterial large subunit ribosomal RNA", at positions 717 to 2925 of the family's 2925-position model. Lineage: Bacteria; Bacillati; Bacillota; Clostridia; Eubacteriales; Oscillospiraceae. The record is from RNAcentral.